Molecule: long non-coding RNA, 725 nt
Organism: Labeo rohita (rohu)
Lineage: Eukaryota; Metazoa; Chordata; Actinopteri; Cypriniformes; Cyprinidae
Exons: 4
Source: RefSeq, a predicted model, not a curated record
AAUAGAAAUGCUAAUUCAGAAUGACCUCUUACGAAACCCUCGUCGAUAAUGAGGUCUGUGGGUCCGGAUGGCGAGUGUGGCGUGUUGGAUAAGCGUGAGGUGCGUCGUUUUUAACAAAGAUGCUCCGUGUCUCUAUGGUGGCACAAAUAGAUUGAUCUCAUAGCAACAUGGUUCCCAUGGUAACGCGGGAUGCAGAUGUCAGACCAGAGCGGUCCGAGUGGGAUUACGUGUCUGUUUCUCUCUCCCCAAAACAGGAAGCUCGUUUCCUUCUCUUUCCUUUGGCCUUCGACUCGCAGCGCCGCAGGCAGCAGGACAUGCUCUCUCUGCUAUUUUGGUUUGACACACACAUUUUAGAAACCGUAGGGACGACAUUUUUGUUUUUUUGGAAAGCAUCUCGUUUCUUUGUAAUGUUAGGCUGAGAUGUCUAAAAUGAGGUGUUUUAUAAUGAACUCCUCAGCUGAGAGUCCCUUUGGAUUGAAGCAUCCACAAAAUGCUUCAUUCUUUUUGUGCCUGUUUGAGAGAUUAUGAAACACAGUCCACAUCACAUCAUCUAUUUUGGUGUCGUGAGCCCCGUCCUGCAGCUCAUCCACAGACGAAAUCAGGCAUUUCAACUCUGACCUGUCAUUCAGGCUCCUGACGGAUGCAUUACAUAAUACCAUCUGGUGACGAUCCGCUCUGACGAGGAACCACAGAAACGCGUGUAAGCGGAGGUGUCGCACAAAAGG